UCAUCACCCUGUGACAUACCUAAACGUUGCUUCGGCGGGAAUAGACGGCCCCGUAAAACGGGCCGCCCCCGCCAGAGGACCCCUAACUCUGUUUCUAUAAUGUUUCUUCUGAGUAAAACAAGCAAAUAAAUUAAAACUUUCAACAACGGAUCUCUUGGCUCUGGCAUCGAUGAAGAACGCAGCGAAAUGCGAUAAGUAAUGUGAAUUGCAGAAUUCAGUGAAUCAUCGAAUCUUUGAACGCACAUUGCGCCCGCCAGUAUUCUGGCGGGCAUGCCUGUUCGAGCGUCAUUACAACCCUCAGGCCCCCGGGCCUGGCGUUGGGGAUCGGCGGAGCCCCCCGUGGGCACACGCCGUCCCCCAAAUACAGUGGCGGUCCCGCCGCAGCUUCCAUCGCGUAGUAGCUAACACCUCGCGACUGGAGAGCGGCGCGGCCACGCCGUAAAACACCCAACUCUUCUGAAGUUGACCUCGAAUCAGGUAGGAAUACCCGCUGAACUUAAGCAUAUCAAUAAGCGGAGGAAACGGAGGAA
Molecule: ribosomal RNA, 530 nt
Filed under: Fusarium solani
Lineage: Eukaryota; Fungi; Ascomycota; Sordariomycetes; Hypocreales; Nectriaceae
Description: eukaryotic LSU rRNA
Rfam family: 5.8S ribosomal RNA (bases 135-288)
Source: RNAcentral